RNAcentral lists this ribosomal RNA (2921 nucleotides) under Staphylococcus aureus M0487. RNAcentral describes it as "bacterial LSU rRNA". It matches the Rfam family "Bacterial large subunit ribosomal RNA". The record is from RNAcentral. Lineage: Bacteria; Bacillati; Bacillota; Bacilli; Caryophanales; Staphylococcaceae.
UUAAGUUAUUAAGGGCGCACGGUGGAUGCCUUGGCACUAGAAGCCGAUGAAGGACGUUACUAACGACGAUAUGCUUUGGGGAGCUGUAAGUAAGCUUUGAUCCAGAGAUUUCCGAAUGGGGAAACCCAGCAUGAGUUAUGUCAUGUUAUCGAUAUGUGAAUACAUAGCAUAUCAGAAGGCACACCCGGAGAACUGAAACAUCUUAGUACCCGGAGGAAGAGAAAGAAAAUUCGAUUCCCUUAGUAGCGGCGAGCGAAACGGGAAGAGCCCAAACCAACAAGCUUGCUUGUUGGGGUUGUAGGACACUCUAUACGGAGUUACAAAGGACGACAUUAGACGAAUCAUCUGGAAAGAUGAAUCAAAGAAGGUAAUAAUCCUGUAGUCGAAAAUGUUGUCUCUCUUGAGUGGAUCCUGAGUACGACGGAGCACGUGAAAUUCCGUCGGAAUCUGGGAGGACCAUCUCCUAAGGCUAAAUACUCUCUAGUGACCGAUAGUGAACCAGUACCGUGAGGGAAAGGUGAAAAGCACCCCGGAAGGGGAGUGAAAUAGAACCUGAAACCGUGUGCUUACAAGUAGUCAGAGCCCGUUAAUGGGUGAUGGCGUGCCUUUUGUAGAAUGAACCGGCGAGUUACGAUUUGAUGCAAGGUUAAGCAGUAAAUGUGGAGCCGUAGCGAAAGCGAGUCUGAAUAGGGCGUUUAGUAUUUGGUCGUAGACCCGAAACCAGGUGAUCUACCCUUGGUCAGGUUGAAGUUCAGGUAACACUGAAUGGAGGACCGAACCGACUUACGUUGAAAAGUGAGCGGAUGAACUGAGGGUAGCGGAGAAAUUCCAAUCGAACCUGGAGAUAGCUGGUUCUCUCCGAAAUAGCUUUAGGGCUAGCCUCAAGUGAUGAUUAUUGGAGGUAGAGCACUGUUUGGACGAGGGGCCCCUCUCGGGUUACCGAAUUCAGACAAACUCCGAAUGCCAAUUAAUUUAACUUGGGAGUCAGAACAUGGGUGAUAAGGUCCGUGUUCGAAAGGGAAACAGCCCAGACCACCAGCUAAGGUCCCAAAAUAUAUGUUAAGUGGAAAAGGAUGUGGCGUUGCCCAGACAACUAGGAUGUUGGCUUAGAAGCAGCCAUCAUUUAAAGAGUGCGUAAUAGCUCACUAGUCGAGUGACACUGCGCCGAAAAUGUACCGGGGCUAAACAUAUUACCGAAGCUGUGGAUUGUCCUUUGGACAAUGGUAGGAGAGCGUUCUAAGGGCGUUGAAGCAUGAUCGUAAGGACAUGUGGAGCGCUUAGAAGUGAGAAUGCCGGUGUGAGUAGCGAAAGACGGGUGAGAAUCCCGUCCACCGAUUGACUAAGGUUUCCAGAGGAAGGCUCGUCCGCUCUGGGUUAGUCGGGUCCUAAGCUGAGGCCGACAGGCGUAGGCGAUGGAUAACAGGUUGAUAUUCCUGUACCACCUAUAAUCGUUUUAAUCGAUGGGGGGACGCAGUAGGAUAGGCGAAGCGUGCGAUUGGAUUGCACGUCUAAGCAGUAAGGCUGAGUAUUAGGCAAAUCCGGUACUCGUUAAGGCUGAGCUGUGAUGGGGAGAAGACAUUGUGUCUUCGAGUCGUUGAUUUCACACUGCCGAGAAAAGCCUCUAGAUAGAAAAUAGGUGCCCGUACCGCAAACCGACACAGGUAGUCAAGAUGAGAAUUCUAAGGUGAGCGAGCGAACUCUCGUUAAGGAACUCGGCAAAAUGACCCCGUAACUUCGGGAGAAGGGGUGCUCUUUAGGGUUAACGCCCAGAAGAGCCGCAGUGAAUAGGCCCAAGCGACUGUUUAUCAAAAACACAGGUCUCUGCUAAACCGUAAGGUGAUGUAUAGGGGCUGACGCCUGCCCGGUGCUGGAAGGUUAAGAGGAGUGGUUAGCUUCUGCGAAGCUACGAAUCGAAGCCCCAGUAAACGGCGGCCGUAACUAUAACGGUCCUAAGGUAGCGAAAUUCCUUGUCGGGUAAGUUCCGACCCGCACGAAAGGCGUAACGAUUUGGGCACUGUCUCAACGAGAGACUCGGUGAAAUCAUAGUACCUGUGAAGAUGCAGGUUACCCGCGACAGGACGGAAAGACCCCGUGGAGCUUUACUGUAGCCUGAUAUUGAAAUUCGGCACAGCUUGUACAGGAUAGGUAGGAGCCUUUGAAACGUGAGCGCUAGCUUACGUGGAGGCGCUGGUGGGAUACUACCCUAGCUGUGUUGGCUUUCUAACCCGCACCACUUAUCGUGGUGGGAGACAGUGUCAGGCGGGCAGUUUGACUGGGGCGGUCGCCUCCUAAAAGGUAACGGAGGCGCUCAAAGGUUCCCUCAGAAUGGUUGGAAAUCAUUCAUAGAGUGUAAAGGCAUAAGGGAGCUUGACUGCGAGACCUAUAAGUCGAGCAGGGUCGAAAGACGGACUUAGUGAUCCGGUGGUUCCGCAUGGAAGGGCCAUCGCUCAACGGAUAAAAGCUACCCCGGGGAUAACAGGCUUAUCUCCCCCAAGAGUUCACAUCGACGGGGAGGUUUGGCACCUCGAUGUCGGCUCAUCGCAUCCUGGGGCUGUAGUCGGUCCCAAGGGUUGGGCUGUUCGCCCAUUAAAGCGGUACGCGAGCUGGGUUCAGAACGUCGUGAGACAGUUCGGUCCCUAUCCGUCGUGGGCGUAGGAAAUUUGAGAGGAGCUGUCCUUAGUACGAGAGGACCGGGAUGGACAUACCUCUGGUGUACCAGUUGUCGUGCCAACGGCAUAGCUGGGUAGCUAUGUGUGGACGGGAUAAGUGCUGAAAGCAUCUAAGCAUGAAGCCCCCCUCAAGAUGAGAUUUCCCAACUUCGGUUAUAAGAUCCCUCAAAGAUGAUGAGGUUAAUAGGUUCGAGGUGGAAGCAUGGUGACAUGUGGAGCUGACGAAUACUAAUCGAUCGAAGACUUAAUCAA